UGUGGAUCGAACUUCAUCUUCCUCCGCUGAAACUCCGGCCACUUAUCACCGAAGUGCUCCGCCCACUCCUCCUCCAUCGUGUAGUGAGGCAGCAACGCCACGAGGUAGAAGACAUCGUCCUCUGGGGUCACGGCAGAGCUCCUCGGGUCCCAUCUACACAACAAAAGAGUGGAACCAAGUGUCAUCAAGAGAGGUAUGGACCCUGGACUUGAUAAUUCUAAGAUGUAGUGAAAUAAUGUCUCCAUUACAACACUGCAAAGUUGAGUACGUCAACUGGGACGAUGGUAACAUCCCCAUCGGACCCCAUCGGACCCCAUCGGAGGGGUCCAACGGAGAAGAUCUCCUGACACCAGAAUCUUCUCCCAUGGGACAAUCACCACCCUCCAAGCUGGCUAAGCUUGUACUUUGUGGAAUUUUUAAAGAAAAAUUACAUAUUCUUUUUAAAACCCGAGUCGGCUUUACGGUAAAUAAGAUUUUUGAGGUUAGAGAUUCAAACAAUUGGAUGUCAUUUUCGCGGACUUCUUAACCUACAAAUGAGAAAAAAAAAAAAGGAAUAAAAAAGAAUAGGGAACAUACUUAUGCUUGUUCAUGGGGUAGAUGAGGAUGGGUCCACUGGUAUUAUUUCCCAAAAUGCCCUUGAAAACACCUCGAUCAAAAUCAGCAAUUCUCGACUUCGGAACAAAGAGAUUCAGCCAUGGAUGCGGGACAUCCCACAGCCCCUUGGAUUGGAGCUUCAACUCGGCCGUAUGAACCCGGUCGAGAAAGUCCACAUAACCUAGGUCUGUUGUGAAAACCGACUCGGGUAUGUAGUCGAGUUCCUUCAGCAGCGCCUCAACUUCCUGAUUAAACAAAGUAGUUUCGUCAGCUACUAUAUUUUAUUCCAAUCACUGUUAACAAGAGAAUAAUUUGGGAGCUGAAAGGCUGUGGAUUUAGUGUUAUUAUUAUCCUUAAAGCUAUGUUCUUUCUC
This is a long non-coding RNA of Cucurbita maxima (winter squash), 967 nucleotides long. RefSeq lists it as uncharacterized. Lineage: Eukaryota; Viridiplantae; Streptophyta; Magnoliopsida; Cucurbitales; Cucurbitaceae. The transcript has 2 exons. The record is from RefSeq and is a predicted model, not a curated record.